CCCUUAGAUGUUCUGGGCCGCACGCGCGCUACACUGAUGCAUUCAACGAGCCUAUCCUUGACCGACAGGUCCGGGUAAUCUUUGAAUCUGCAUCGUGACGGGGAUAGAUUAUUGCAAUUAUUAAUCUUCAACGAGGAAUGCCUAGUAGGCGCAAGUCAUCAGCUUGCGUCGAUUACGUCCCUGCCCUUUGUACACACCGCCCGUCGCUCCUACCGAUUGGGUGUGCUGGUGAAGUGUUCGGAUCGGCCGUUUGUCGCGGUUUCCGCGGCUCGUGGCUGAGAAGUUCAUUAAACCCUCCCACCUAGAGGAAGGAGAAGUCGUAACA
This 325-nucleotide ribosomal RNA is filed under the name uncultured eukaryote. Its description in RNAcentral is "partial 18S ribosomal RNA". It matches the Rfam family "Eukaryotic small subunit ribosomal RNA", at positions 1470 to 1796 of the family's 1831-position model. The record is from RNAcentral.